RNAcentral lists this ribosomal RNA (282 nucleotides) under Escherichia coli. RNAcentral's name for it is "partial 23S ribosomal RNA". It matches the Rfam family "Bacterial large subunit ribosomal RNA", at positions 583 to 867 of the family's 2925-position model. The record is from RNAcentral. Lineage: Bacteria; Pseudomonadati; Pseudomonadota; Gammaproteobacteria; Enterobacterales; Enterobacteriaceae.
GCUUAGGCGUGUGACUGCGUACCUUUUGUAUAAUGGGUCAGCGACUUAUAUUCUGUAGCAAGGUUAACCGAAUAGGGGAGCCGAAGGGAAACCGAGUCUUAACUGGGCGUUAAGUUGCAGGGUAUAGACCCGAAACCCGGUGAUCUAGCCAUGGGCAGGUUGAAGGUUGGGUAACACUAACUGGAGGACCGAACCGACUAAUGUUGAAAAAUUAGCGGAUGACUUGUGGCUGGGGGUGAAAGGCCAAUCAAACCGGGAGAUAGCUGGUUCUCCCCGAAAGCU